This 76-nucleotide transfer RNA is filed under the name Acidocella sp. RNAcentral describes it as "tRNA-Glu". It matches the Rfam family "tRNA". From Rfam's summary of the family: Transfer RNA (tRNA) molecules are approximately 80 nucleotides in length. Their secondary structure includes four short double-helical elements and three loops (D, anti-codon, and T loops). Further hydrogen bonds mediate the characteristic L-shaped molecular structure. tRNAs have two regions of fundamental functional importance: the anti-codon, which is responsible for specific mRNA codon recognition, and the 3' end, to which the tRNAs corresponding amino acid is attached (by aminoacyl-tRNA synthetases). tRNAs cope with the degeneracy of the genetic code in two manners: having more than one tRNA (with a specific anti-codon) for a particular amino acid; and 'wobble' base-pairing, i.e. permitting non-standard base-pairing at the 3rd anti-codon position. RNAcentral also lists the same sequence under 7 other names. Lineage: Bacteria; Pseudomonadati; Pseudomonadota; Alphaproteobacteria; Acetobacterales; Acidocellaceae. The record is from RNAcentral.
GUCCCGUUCGUCUAGAGGCCCAGGACACUGCCCUUUCACGGCGGCGACAGGGGUUCGAAUCCCCUACGGGACGCCA